Engraulis encrasicolus (European anchovy) is the source of this 675-nucleotide long non-coding RNA. RefSeq lists it as uncharacterized. Lineage: Eukaryota; Metazoa; Chordata; Actinopteri; Clupeiformes; Engraulidae. The transcript has 3 exons. The record is from RefSeq and is a predicted model, not a curated record.
UGUAUCAUAACAAAGCCUGUCACUUCCACGUUUCGUUCUUUAUGUGACCGAAGUCACUGGCUACUGCACCAGAGAGGGUCUCUGCACUCAUUGCUGGUCCUAUAAUGCCAUCUAUUGGCGAAAACGUGCAACAGCAUAAUUAAACUAAAAGACAACUUCUGACAGGACAACAAAAAGACAGGGAGUGAGAAUAAGGGAAUAACAAAAAGCCGAAAAUGGGGGGUCCACUACACUUGCAUACCUGAUUGUGAUGCUGUCACUCAUUUUCUAGUCUAUAUCUUGGACUGAAAAAGGAUUACAUUAUUAUGUUUUCAGGUGUUUUGCCCCUGCGGUUGUGAAGAGGAUGCUGUGGAGGUGGCAGCAUGAACGUGUCACACAGACAUUGGCUAAACUACUCGGCUUCUACACUUGCCCUCAGAGUUCACAUAUGGUGAAGUGCACAGGUGUCCAGUCAGGUUCAGACUGAUGCUGGUAACAAGAGGAAAACAUGCUAAUUGAUGACCUUUCCAGCAUGUCCAACUCAUCAGCAUCAGGGGAGGAGAGUCGGUGAAGGUGGUGCACCAUCCAGGACCAGUCAUGGGCCACCAACACCUCUGCAAAAUCUGCACUUCUUGUGAACCCUCUAGAAGACACUACAACCACAAAACUGCUAAUAAACCAUCACAUACUACAUCA